RNAcentral lists this ribosomal RNA (394 nucleotides) under uncultured eukaryote. RNAcentral describes it as "SSU rRNA". It matches the Rfam family "Eukaryotic small subunit ribosomal RNA", at positions 588 to 988 of the family's 1831-position model. The record is from RNAcentral.
GCUCCAAUAGCGUAUAUUUAAGUUGUUGCAGUUAAAAAGCUCGUAGUUGGAUUUCGGGUGGGUACCGCCGGUCUCCCUUUGGGUAUGUACUGGCGUGGCCCGCCUUGCUGUCGGGGACGAUCUCCUGGGCUUAACUGUCCGGGAAUCGGAGUCGACGAUGUUACUUUGAGUAAAUUAGAGUGUUCAAAGCAAGCCUACGCUCUGAAUAUAAUAGCAUGGGAUAACACGACAGGACUCUGGCCUAUCGUGUUGGUCUGUAGGACCGGAGUAAUGAUUAAGAGGGACAGUCGGGGGCAUUCGUAUUCCAUUGUCAGAGGUGAAAUUCUUGGAUUUAUGGAAGACGAACAUCUGCGAAAGCAUUUGUCAAGGAUGUUUUCAUUGAUCAAGAACGAAA